GUGUCAGCCGCCGCGGGGGUAAUACGUAGGGUGCGAGCGUUAAUUGGAAUUACUGGGCGUAAAGCGUGCGCAGGCGGGUUUGUAAGACAGAUGUGAAAUCCCCGGGCUUAACCUGGGAACUGCAUUUGUGACUGCAAGGCUAGAGUACGGCAGAGGGGGGUAGAAUUCCACGUGUAGCAGUGAAAUGCGUAGAUAUGUGGAGGAAUACCGAUGGCGAAGGCAGCCCCCUGGGUCGAUACUGACGCUCAUGCACGAAAGCGUGGGUAGCAAACAGGAUUAGAGACCCUGGUAGACCACGCCG
Molecule: ribosomal RNA, 301 nt
Filed under: uncultured bacterium
Lineage: Bacteria
Description: bacterial SSU rRNA
Rfam family: Bacterial small subunit ribosomal RNA
Source: RNAcentral